AUGGAUCUGUGGAGUUGAAUUAAUGAAGAAUUCAGACCCAAGCAUAACAUUUACAGUUUAUGUAGACCACAGGGAAAUGUUUUAAAAUGCAUAAUUCUAUCUAAAAAACCAAAAUAUCCCUCCAUUAAUGUUUGUUUCAGAUGCU
Molecule: long non-coding RNA, 145 nt
Organism: Sphaeramia orbicularis (orbiculate cardinalfish)
Lineage: Eukaryota; Metazoa; Chordata; Actinopteri; Kurtiformes; Apogonidae
Exons: 3
Source: RefSeq, a predicted model, not a curated record